GAUGAACGCUGGCGGCGUGCCUAAUACAUGCAAGUCGAGCGAACGGACGAGAAGCUUGCUUCUCUGAUGUUAGCGGCGGACGGGUGAGUAACACGUGGAUAACCUACCUAUAAGACUGGGAUAACUUCGGGAAACCGGAGCUAAUACCGGAUAAUAUUUUGAACCGCAUGGUUCAAAAGUGAAAGACGGUCUUGCUGUCACUUAUAGAUGGAUCCGCGCUGCAUUAGCUAGUUGGUAAGGUAACGGCUUACCAAGGCAACGAUGCAUAGCCGACCUGAGAGGGUGAUCGGCCACACUGGAACUGAGACACGGUCCAGACUCCUACGGGAGGCAGCAGUAGGGAAUCUUCCGCAAUGGGCGAAAGCCUGACGGAGCAACGCCGCGUAGUGAUGAAGGUCUUCGGAUCGUAAAACUCUGUUAUUAGGGAAGAACAUAUGUGUAAGUAACUGUGCACAUCUUGACGGUACCUAAUCAGAAAGCCACGGCUAACUACGUG
RNAcentral lists this ribosomal RNA (496 nucleotides) under uncultured bacterium. RNAcentral describes it as "partial 16S ribosomal RNA". It matches the Rfam family "Bacterial small subunit ribosomal RNA", at positions 28 to 507 of the family's 1533-position model. The record is from RNAcentral.